Molecule: transfer RNA, 74 nt
Filed under: Zygosaccharomyces mellis
Lineage: Eukaryota; Fungi; Ascomycota; Saccharomycetes; Saccharomycetales; Saccharomycetaceae
Description: tRNA-Asn
Rfam family: tRNA
About the family: Transfer RNA (tRNA) molecules are approximately 80 nucleotides in length. Their secondary structure includes four short double-helical elements and three loops (D, anti-codon, and T loops).
Source: RNAcentral
GACUCCGUGGCCAAGUUGGUUAAGGCGCGCGACUGUUAAUCGCGAGAGCGUGAGUUCGAUCCUCACCGGGGUCG